CCUACGGGAGGCUGCAGUGGGGAAUAUUGCACAAUGGGCGCAAGCCUGAUGCAGCCAUGCCGCGUGUGUGAAGAAGGCCUUCGGGUUGUAAAGCACUUUCAGCGGGGAGGAAGGCGGUGAGGUUAAUAACCUCAUCGAUUGACGUUACCCGCAGAAGAAGCACCGGCUAACUCCGUGCCAGCAGCUGCGGUAAUACGGAGGGUGCAAGCGUUAAUCGGAAUUACUGGGCGUAAAGCGCACGCAGGCGGUCUGUCAAGUCGGAUGUGAAAUUCCCGGGCUCAACCUGGGAACUGCAUUCGAAACUGGCAGGCUAGAGUCUUGUAGAGGGGGGUAGAAUUCCAGGUGUAGCGGUGAAAUGCGUAGAGAUCUGGAGGAAUACCGGUGGCGAAGGCGGCCCCCUGGACAAAGACUGACGCUCAGGUGCGAAAGCGUGGGGAGCAAACAGGAUUAGAUACCCGUGUAGUC
This 465-nucleotide ribosomal RNA is filed under the name uncultured Klebsiella sp. RNAcentral describes it as "bacterial SSU rRNA". It matches the Rfam family "Bacterial small subunit ribosomal RNA", at positions 338 to 795 of the family's 1533-position model. Lineage: Bacteria; Pseudomonadati; Pseudomonadota; Gammaproteobacteria; Enterobacterales; Enterobacteriaceae. The record is from RNAcentral.